Molecule: ribosomal RNA, 390 nt
Filed under: Acrochordus granulatus (little file snake)
Lineage: Eukaryota; Metazoa; Chordata; Lepidosauria; Squamata; Acrochordidae
Description: partial 16S ribosomal RNA
Rfam family: Bacterial large subunit ribosomal RNA
Source: RNAcentral
UAAUCACUUGUCUAUUAAUUGUAGACCAGUACGAACGGCAACAUGAGAGCCCAACUGUCUCUUGUAAUCAACCAAUUAAACUGAUCUCCCAGUACAAAAGCUGGGAUACACAUAUAAGACCAGAAGACCCUGUGAAGCUUUAACUAAACCUCUAACCCGUCUAGAGACUAAUUUAGGUUGGGGCGACCUCGGAAUAAAAACAAACUUCCNNNNNNNNACCUCACUUACACAGGCCCACAAGCCACAACACGACCCAGUAUAACUGAUAACUGAACCAAGUUACUCCAGGGAUAACAGCGCUAUCUUCUUCAAGAGCCCAUAUCAAAAAGAAGGUUUACGACCUCGAUGUUGGAUCAGGACACCCAGAUGGUGCAACCGCUAUCAAAGGUU